Molecule: ribosomal RNA, 238 nt
Filed under: uncultured bacterium
Lineage: Bacteria
Description: partial 16S ribosomal RNA
Rfam family: Bacterial small subunit ribosomal RNA
Source: RNAcentral
GACAGAGGAUGCAAGCGUUAUCCGGAAUGAUUGGGCGUAAAGCGUCUGUAGGUGGUUUGACAAGUCUUUUGUCAAAGAUCAGGCUUAACCCUGGGCCGGCAAGAGAAACUAUCAGACUAGAGUUCGGUAGGGGCAGAGGGAAUUCCCGGUGUAGCGGUGAAAUGCGUAGAGAAUCGGGAGGAACACCAGCGGCGAAGGCGGCGACCUGGACAGGUACUGACACUCAACUACGAAAAGC